GCAGACACAUUCCAGCCAAUCAGCAGCAGACCCUCCCUCCCAGACCCUCCCACUUCCUGGACAGCAUCCAUUUUGAAGCUGCAUUCUUAGUGAGCUGUCCAGGAGGUGGGAGGGUCUGGGAGGGAGAGUCUGCUGCUGAUUGGCUGGAAUGUGUCUG
Molecule: microRNA precursor, 157 nt
Filed under: Pelobates cultripes (western spadefoot toad)
Lineage: Eukaryota; Metazoa; Chordata; Amphibia; Anura; Pelobatidae
Source: RNAcentral